RNAcentral lists this ribosomal RNA (388 nucleotides) under uncultured bacterium. Its description in RNAcentral is "bacterial SSU rRNA". It matches the Rfam family "Bacterial small subunit ribosomal RNA", at positions 29 to 417 of the family's 1533-position model. The record is from RNAcentral.
AUUGAACGCUGGCGGCAUGCCUUACACAUGCAAGUCGAACGGCAGCACGGGAGCAACCCUGGUGGCGAGUGGCGAACGGGUGAGUAAUAUAUCGGAACGUGCCCGGUCGUGGGGGAUAACGUAGCGAAAGCUACGCUAAUACCGCAUACGAUCUACGGAUGAAAGCGGGGGAUCGCAAGACCUCGCGCGAUUGGAGCGGCCGAUAUCAGAUUAGGUAGUUGGUGAGGUAAAGGCUCACCAAGCCGACGAUCUGUAGCUGGUCUGAGAGGACGACCAGCCACACUGGGACUGAGACACGGCCCAGACUCCUACGGGAGGCAGCAGUGGGGGAAUUUUGGACAAUGGGCGCAAGCCUGAUCCAGCAAUGCCGCGUGCAGGAUGAAGGCCU